RNAcentral lists this ribosomal RNA (831 nucleotides) under uncultured Planctomycetota bacterium. RNAcentral's name for it is "bacterial SSU rRNA". It matches the Rfam family "Bacterial small subunit ribosomal RNA", at positions 63 to 894 of the family's 1533-position model. The record is from RNAcentral. Lineage: Bacteria; Pseudomonadati; Planctomycetota.
CGAUUUACGGAUUGAGACUUCGGUCGAUUGAAGUAAAUGAAAGCGGCGAAAGGGAGAGUAACGCGUGGAUAUCUGCCCUUGGCUCCAGGAUAGCUACGGGAAACUGUGGGUAAUACUGGAUAAUAUCUCCGGAUCAAAGGUGUGAUUCCGGCCGAGGAUGAGUCCGCGUCCUAUUAGGUAGUUGGCGGGGUAAAGGCCCACCAAGCCGAAGAUGGGUACCGGGUGUGAGAGCAUGGCCCGGCUCACUGGGACUGAGACACUGCCCAGACGUCUACGGAUGGCUGCAGUCGAGAAUCUUCCGCAAUGGGCGAAAGCCUGACGGAGCGACGCCGCGUGCGGGAUGAAGGCCUUCGGGUUGUAAACCGCUGUCAGUUGGGAGGAAGUGCUAUGGGGUUCUCCUCAUAGCUUGACCGAUCUUCAGAGGAAGUACGGGCUAAGUACGUGCCAGCAGCCGCGGUAAUACGUACCGUACGAACGUUAUUCGGAAUUACUGGGCUUAAAGAGUCCGUAGGCGGCUUUAAAGGUGAGGUGUGAAAUCCCACGGCUUAACCGUGGAAUUGCGCUUCAAACCAUAAGGCUUGAGGGAGAUAGAGGAAAGCGGAACUGAUGGUGGAGCGGUGAAAUGCGUUGAUAUCAUCAGGAACACCGGUGGCGAAAGCGGCUUUCUGGGUCUCUUCUGACGCUGAGGGACGAAAGCUAGGGGAGCGAACGGGAUUAGAUACCCCGGUAGUCCUAGCUGUAAACGAUGAGCACUAGUUCGGGGGGACCCCCACAUCCUUUUGGACGUAGCGAAAGUGUUAAGUGCUCCGCCUGGGAGUAUGGUCGCAAGGC